RNAcentral lists this ribosomal RNA (253 nucleotides) under uncultured bacterium. Its description in RNAcentral is "partial 16S ribosomal RNA". It matches the Rfam family "Bacterial small subunit ribosomal RNA", at positions 524 to 776 of the family's 1533-position model. The record is from RNAcentral.
GACGAACCGUGCGAACGUUGUUCGGAUUCACUGGGCUUAAAGGGCGCGUAGGCGGCUCGCCAAGUCAGGGGUGAAAUCUUUCGGCUCAACCGGAAAACAGCUUCUGAUACUGGCGGGCUGGAGGGAGGUAGGGGCGGAUGGAACUUCCGGUGGAGCGGUGAAAUGCGUAGAUAUCGGAAGGAACGCCGGUGGCGAAAGCGAUCCGCUGGACCUCCUCUGACGCUGAGGCGCGAAAGCUAGGGGAGCAAACAGG